RNAcentral lists this microRNA precursor (81 nucleotides) under Branchiostoma floridae (Florida lancelet). Its description in RNAcentral is "microRNA bfl-mir-4864 precursor". It matches the Rfam family "mir-4864 microRNA precursor family". The record is from miRBase by way of RNAcentral. Lineage: Eukaryota; Metazoa; Chordata; Leptocardii; Amphioxiformes; Branchiostomatidae.
UCUCUGGUGUAGGGAGAUCACCUCAGGCGUACAGUCUUGUCAUGUAGCAUGUAGCCAGACCUGAUCUCCCUGCAGCGGCUG